CCAUGCCGCGUGCAGGAAGAAUGCCCUAUGGGUAGUAAACUGCUUUUAUACGGGAAGAAAAAGAGCUACGUGUAGCUUACUGACGGUACCGUAAGAAUAAGGACCGGCUAACUCCGUGCCAGCAGCCGCGGUAAUACGGAGGGUCCGAGCGUUAUCCGGAAUUAUUGGGUUUAAAGGGUCCGUAGGCGGGCGAUUAAGUCAGUGGUGAAAGUCUGCAGCUCAACUGUAGAAUUGCCUUUGAUACUGGUCGUCUUGAGUUAUAGUGAAGUUGCCGGAAUAUGUAGUGUAGCGGUGAAAUGCAUAGAUAUUACAUAGAACACCGAUUGCGAAGGCAGGUGACUAACUAUAUACUGACGCUGAUGGACGAAAGCGUGGGGAGCGAACAGGAUUAGAUACCCUGGUAGUCCACGCCGUAAACGAUGGAUACUAGCUGUCCGGGACCUUGAGUCCUGGGCGGCCAAGCGAAAGUGAUAAGUAUCCCACCUGGGGAGUACGUUCGCAAGAAUGAAACUCAAAGGAAUUGACGGGGGCCCGCACAAGCGGUGGAGCAUGUGGUUUAAUUCGAUGAUACGCGAGGAACCUUACCAGGGCUUAAAUGCAUAUUGACAGGGGUAGAGAUACCUUUUCCUUCGGGCAAUUUGCAAGGUGCUGCAUGGUUGUCGUCAGCUCGUGCCGUGAGGUGUCAGGUUAAGUCCUAUAACGAGCGCAACCCCUACCGUUAGUUGCCAGCAUGUCAUGAUGGGGACUCUAACGGGACUGCCGGUGCAAACCGUGAGGAAGGUGGGGAUGACGUCAAAUCAUCACGGCCCUUACGUCCUGGGCCACACACGUGCUACAAUGGCAGGUACAGAGAGCAGCCACGUCGCAAGGCGGAGCGAAUCUAUAAAACCUGUCACAGUUCGGAUCGGGGUCUGCAACUCGACCCCGUGAAGCUGGAAUCGCUAGUAAUCGGAUAUCAGCCAUGAUCCGGUGAAUACGUUCCCGGGCCUUGUACACACCGCCCGUCAGCAUGGAAGCGGGAGUGCUGA
This 1028-nucleotide ribosomal RNA is filed under the name Arctic sea ice bacterium 7m21. RNAcentral's name for it is "bacterial SSU rRNA". It matches the Rfam family "Bacterial small subunit ribosomal RNA", at positions 392 to 1422 of the family's 1533-position model. The record is from RNAcentral.